Molecule: long non-coding RNA, 1174 nt
Organism: Oreochromis niloticus (Nile tilapia)
Lineage: Eukaryota; Metazoa; Chordata; Actinopteri; Cichliformes; Cichlidae
Exons: 2
Source: RefSeq, a predicted model, not a curated record
AGAAGGAUUGCGAGCGAAAGCAAAUGCGACAAGGCUCGUCUGAAAAGUAGCCCUGCCAUCUCAAGCAUGAAAUAAAUCUCAUAAUAUCAGCGGAGCAUCAGCCGAGCAGUCGCAUACAAUCAAGAAAAAAAAAGAAGUGAUAAUAAGAACAUACUACGAGCUAAUAAAGGUGGACUCUAGUCUGUGUGAAGUUUCUUACCCAUGUCUGGAAGAUGCGUUCAAGGACUUUGAGCUACUGUCUCGCUGCCUGCACUGCAGCUGGUCCGCUGAUGAUAUGCGCAACUUGUCUCCGGCCCCCGUAUAUCAAUCUCAACUCGCUGUUCUGUUCCCCCCAACAAUGGACAGACCCGCUGAUGACUGCGAGUGCAACCUUAAAGAAACAAUGUCGCUUUUCAAUGAACUUCAAGGCGCAGAAAUAAUGAGGAGGCCGGGGGUCCUUAAACUUGCGGACAUUUACUAAGUUCAUUGUUGACGCUCAUCUGCAUACAGACGUGCGCACACGCAGAGAAGAAUACAUUUUUCUUCUUCUCGUUUGUGUGGGGACAAACAGUGGUUAGCUAAGACCUUUUUGUCUUAAAAGUCAAAAUGCCAACAUGUCCAGGCAAAUGAGGAAUGAGUCGUACAUCAUGUUGAGUCGAGCUUGUUGUUUCAGACGCCGUAGGUCUACGACCUCUGAUUGAGAUAACACUGGCUAUCAUGGUGUUGCCCUUUUAGCGUUCAGGUGAUAGUCUUACAGGAAAUUGACAGAUAUCAUCUGUUUGCAGUGAGAUACACUUUACCAUGACUGAAGUGGCAUCCCAGCAACCCAAAUAAACAGUGUCACGGAUUUUUAACCUCUUUUGGAAUGUUCCGAAAGGAAAACUAUAAACAUGUGCACACUUAUGAGAGAUGUUUAUUUUUUAGCGAUCUAACAAGAUAGAGUUUCAAUUAUUCCCUUUCGUUUUGUAAUAUGCGAUCACUUAUCUGUCACGCCAGCUCUCUUUUUUUGCAACAUAGUCAUCAAAUGUUCAGCAUAAGAAGAAGAAAAGGAAACAUGACUAAGAUAAAAAUGUCCUUUUUGUGUACAUCAAGGAAACAUCCCUGAUCCCAGGGCACCUGACUGUGUCGGAGUGAGAGACUGUGCUCUGAUUCAUCUCCCCCCUCUGGCCUAAUACCAGAAAUAUAAAAACAAAAU